This 553-nucleotide small RNA is filed under the name Pan troglodytes (chimpanzee). Its description in RNAcentral is "retained intron". Lineage: Eukaryota; Metazoa; Chordata; Mammalia; Primates; Hominidae. The record is from RNAcentral.
GGGAUCUUGGACACUCUGGGAGGUGUCCCACCCUCAUGGCUGAGCCCAUCCUUCCUGAGGGAAGACAGUGGCAGCCACAGGAAUGGUGGCCAUUUCCAGGGGCUUUGCCCUCUGCUCACCUUAUGUCCAACCUCUCAGGAUGCUGUGGAGUUGCACCUUCUGCAGGAUGAAGAGGUUUUCAGGAAGACAACAGUGCCGUCAUGUAUCUAAGACCCUGGAGAGGCAGAUGCAGCCUCAGGACCAGCUGGCUUCUGACUUUGGCCAGGUAGGACUUGACUUAGAGGCAGAAUUUGAAAAAGAUCUCAAAGACGUGCUCGGUUUUCAUGAAGCCAAUGACGGCGGUUUCUGGACUCUUCCUUGACCCUGUUCUGUAAAGACUGAAGCAUCCCCACCUCAGGAUUCAGCUGAUGGGACCCUGGCUUGGACUGUUGAUUGCCAGUGAGUCUGGGAUGUAAUUGGCUGCCCUCAGGACCCAACUCCAGACACUUCAUAGGAUUAUCACACCCUCCAUCUUUAUUCUUUCUUUUUACCUUUAAAAGUCUAUAUCUACACU